This 37-nucleotide transfer RNA is filed under the name Gerrhonotus infernalis. Its description in RNAcentral is "partial tRNA-Leu". Lineage: Eukaryota; Metazoa; Chordata; Lepidosauria; Squamata; Anguidae. The record is from RNAcentral.
CUUUUAAAGGAUAGUAGCUAUCCAUUGACUUUAGGCG